UACGAAGGACCCGAGCGUUAUCCGGAUUUAUUGGGUUUAAAGGGUGCGCAGGCGGACUAAUAAGUCAGUGGUGAAAGCCUGAUGCUUAACAUCAGAACUGCCAUUGAUACUGCUAGUCUUGAGUACGGUUGAGGUGGGCGGAAUGUGUCAUGUAGCGGUGAAAUGCUUAGAUAUGACACAGAACACCAAUUGCGAAGGCAGCUCGCUAAACCGUAACUGACGCUGAGGCACGAAAGCGUGGGGAGCAAACAGG
This 253-nucleotide ribosomal RNA is filed under the name uncultured bacterium. Its description in RNAcentral is "partial 16S ribosomal RNA". It matches the Rfam family "Bacterial small subunit ribosomal RNA", at positions 524 to 776 of the family's 1533-position model. The record is from RNAcentral.